Non-coding RNA from Zea mays, 195 nucleotides. The record is from Rfam. Lineage: Eukaryota; Viridiplantae; Streptophyta; Magnoliopsida; Poales; Poaceae.
ACUCAUUUUCAGUCUUUUGGCUAAGAUCAAGUGUAAUAUUUGUUUUACCAGUUCAAUAUCUGGUAUAUGAACAACUUUGACAUUAAAUUCAUUUAUUAUGGGUAGUUUUAUGUGGAGGGUCCAUUAACACUCUCAAGUGAUGCUUAGUCACCUAAUCAAUAUCAUCAAAUAUGGUUGGGUACCGUCGCAACGCAC